RNAcentral lists this transfer RNA (76 nucleotides) under Candidatus Ryanbacteria bacterium RIFCSPLOWO2_01_FULL_48_26. Its description in RNAcentral is "tRNA-Lys". It matches the Rfam family "tRNA". Rfam says of the family: Transfer RNA (tRNA) molecules are approximately 80 nucleotides in length. Their secondary structure includes four short double-helical elements and three loops (D, anti-codon, and T loops). Lineage: Bacteria; Candidatus Ryaniibacteriota. The record is from RNAcentral.
GCCUCCUUAGCUCAGUUGGUAGAGCAGCUCCCUCUUAAGGAGACGGUCGCAGGUUCGAUCCCUGCAGGAGGCACAA